Long non-coding RNA from Salvelinus fontinalis (brook trout), 17152 nucleotides. RefSeq lists it as uncharacterized. NCBI's taxonomy places the organism in Eukaryota, Metazoa, Chordata, Actinopteri, Salmoniformes, Salmonidae. The record is from RefSeq and is a predicted model, not a curated record. The transcript is spliced from 3 exons.
UCAAUACUGGAGGAGUGUUACUGCUGUAAUUGAUUCCACUGCCACAGUAGCAUCACCAGUACUGUUAGACCAGCAGCUGACAGAAACCUUAAUGAAACAGCAACGGCACCUCUUAACUGGACCUGCUGCUGCGACACAGUUUCAUAUGCUGUGUUAGUAUCACUGUGUUAGUAUCACUGUGUUAGUUUCACCCCCUGUCAUAAAGCCACGUCAGAUUAAGACAGUGGCAAUGUAUCUGCCAGACUGAGCGAUUUAGGUUUGGUUAGUGUUCUAAGUAGACACGCAGCACAGUCUGUGUGUUAAGAUAUGGAGAAAGAGCAUGCAGAGUGUAUGUGUGUUAAGAGGUGUGUGUUGUGAAGCAGAAACAGUAAACAGGGAGUGUGUGUGUGACUGAAAUAGAGAAAAAGCACAUGGAGAGUGUGUAAAGAAGCGGGAGAGAGAGUGCUAGUAGCAGCCGUAGGGUUCGGCUAGUUGCCGGGAAAUCCUCUCGGAGUCCUCUCGGCCCUGUCCAUAUGCUCGGCAAAGGUGCUGUGACGUGGCAAAGAGUGGUCCUCGUUCUCGGUAGUGGCGGGCAGAAUUUCCCCCACAGCACCAGGCUAGUGCCAGGCUCGCCCGCUCUUAGCUUGGCACAGGGGAAUAAUGAAAGCGAGUGGCCCAGGCUGUAGCCUGUGUGAAGGGUGUACUAGAAGCUAGCAGACGUCUCCUCAGAGGGGGAGCUCAGGGAUGUAGGGGACCAUGGUUCCAGACACAUACCGGCUGGUUGUAGUGCUGGUCAAGCAUGAACAGAAAGGAGAAUUUACUUUUUAUUGUUACGCUUCAACAGAUCAGGAGAAUUUGUCUUUUUGCUUUCUGUUGGUGUUUGUUCUUCGAAUCUAUGUAUUUUACUGUAAGUUAAGGUUAGUUGAUUUUUCUUUGUAAGAGUGUGCAUUGUCUUUGAAUAAUGCAUUUUUAUAUGUGUUGUUGCAUCAUAUCAACGAGUAUCACUGAUAAAUGUUUAGAUAUAGCUGAGAAUGGGCAACAAGGCCUAAUAUAAUGGUCCUUUGAUAUUAUUCAAAAGGCAUAUUUAAAAUCAUAUGAGCUUAAAUCAUUAGCGUUUAAUCAGAUAAAAUAACAAUGUUACCUUCAUUGUAAAAACCUAACUCAUGUCUAUCCAUUUCAAUGUAAUACUGUAGAAUUUAACAUGCAACUUAAUUCAAAAAGGCUGCAUAGGUCAUUUUUCUAUUUGAAUUUCCUGUCAACCGUUCUGCUCAAGGUCAAGAUAAAUUUACUUUGAACCUACCCCUGAUAUGUUAUAGCCCUUUUUAUGUUGAGGAGCUCUGACCUUUGCUAUAGUGGUGUUGUUGUUAUACUUAGACUGUACUGUCCACACAAUAUCGGCUUCCCGAAGGUCCUUGAGGAGGGUCAUGUCUAGAUGGUAUACAGCUUUUGUCAUUUUAGCUAACCCUUUUCCUAACCUUAACCUAAUUCUCCUAACCUGCUACGUUAAUUCUCCCGACCUGCUGCGUAAGUUCUCCUAACCUGCUACGAAAAAUACAUUUUGACAAAAGCUUUAUCUCUCCUGGACAAAACACAUAAGGAGUAGUCACUACAAUCUGGGUGUGUCCCGCUUCUGAAUGUUGUCCAUUUUGAGAUCUGAUAUCGGAUGGGAUCCAUUUUGUUUUGCAAGCUCUCAAGCAGAAUCUCUCUCUCUCUCCCUCCCUCCCUGCCUCUCUCCCUCUUUCUCCCUUUCUCUUUCAUUCUCCUCUCAGAAUCCGGUGAGGCACAGCAAGGUGAGUUUAGCUCUGAUGAAAUGUCAUAUCUAUUUGUCUUGCUCUUACAUGUUGAAGGCCAUAUACUGUACAUUCGGUCACUGUAUAUUUGUGUGUUUAUUAUGUUUAAUUUCACAUAAAUAUAUGUCAUUUGUUAAGUUAUGUAUUAGAGUCCCUCCCUAUUAGCUUUUGAUUAAAGUUUUUGCGUACGAAGGUGACUAAACACAGCGAGAACCAGCCAAAUGCAACGUAAGUUGGAUGAUAAAAGGACAAUAAUCUAACAUAUAUUAUUAUCGUAAUAGCGUAAGUACUUACAUAUGAUAUAGAUAUAACAAAAAAUGACUUGUCUUGAAUAUUCCCCUGCAAACAAAUGGUCAAAUAGUUCAAAGUAUUUGAAUGACUAUACUCUGAAGUACUCUAUGCAUGAACGCAAUUUAUAAGCUCAUAUUGAAUCAUGAAUCUUCAUGAAUCUUGAAUCUUGUAAGUUAUUCCAAAAUACCUUGACCUUGACCUUUCAUUGGAAACAUCAAGUUUAUGAAAGCAUCUCUGUCUGAAGAAAGCAUCAACACAUGGUUUGAUAAUCACAUAGCUCAUUGCUUAAUGACUGAAUUUCACAGAUCAAUAAAUUCAGAUAUAAAGAUGUAGAUGUUAAAGUGUUAAAUGUUUUUGAUAAAAUGCUAAUACAUUUUGUAGUAGUAAGUGAAUAAGUAUAAUUUGCAGCAUUGCUUACCAUAUUAAAUGAUACUGUGCAGUUCAUUUUCAUAAAUCCAAUGAUUAUUUCUACUUGUAAAUAUUGUAUUUUUUUUAAAAGGAGUGUUACUCGUUGCUUUGCAGGCGCAUCGGAAAUGUGAAACAGGUUGGCAUGAAAAUAAACGAGUCCUACUUUGCCUGAAGGGUGCGCAGGAGCUUCUUUCAUUUGAAUAAAUGUUUUAUUGGAAAAUAUGCUAUUUUGAAAAUGUGUUUUUCAAAAUCCCUGUUCAAUAUAAUAAGUGUAAAUAAUUUGUUCUCAUCCUUUUUGCAAUUCCAAUCAUGGGAAUAUGCUCAGCCUUUUUGUUGGCAGGCAAAUAAAUAAUGACUUACAAUUUAGCUUUAAAAAAUAUAUAUAAAUCAUAAUGUGUUAUUAUUACACAAUGAUGAAGCGGAUUUGAAUUGUUCAUGUGCUUGGCAAAUUUAAACAGAUUAUUUUGUAUAACCCAAUUUAAGUUUGGAGUAAUUUCUUCUAACCCGAUUGAUAUUCACUCCUAUUUUGUGAUAUCAAUUACUAUCUAAUCAAUAUAUUUACAAUUAUGUAUUCAUUCCGUAUUAAUCAUAUAGUAAAUCUAAGCUAUUUGUGUUAAAAAGUGACGCAUUUUGAUAUUGAGUCAGUACAACAUAUUUUAUUAUUAUUAUAUAUACUGUAUUGAUAUUUUUUCCAAUUACCUCUGGCUCUUCAUUAUAAAUGUAUUCGAAAUUGUAUUGUCAUUAGAAAGAUAUUAUCACAAAUUUUCAAUUCAAAUAUAUGGAUACUAUACUUUUAUAAUGUUAUAUUGGACUGUGAACACAUUUUAAAAAUACAAAAAUAUAUGUGACUAAAAGUUAACCCAAAAUGAUAAUACCACAUUCUUGUUAGUGAUACAAAAUCAAAAGAUUUAGUAACAGUGUUUUUCAUGCCUCGUUUGUCAAAAUUCCAGAAGUCAUUGAAUUAGUUGUGAAAAAUAGAUUUUUUUAAAGUUACACUUCAGGGGUGUCGGUGAAAGGAAAUAUUUCACAAUUACACUUUUCUUUAACGUUGUAUAAUAUUCAACUGUUAACAUGUAAAGCACAUACCCUUCUCAUUUUUAAACAUCACCAUCACCAUCUUUUUCUCAGACCCAUAAUAUUCACAUUUCGUAUAUGUUUUUCAGCAGAAAAUGUUAUCAUGACGUUAUGAGUGAUUGCAUAGUAUAGACACCCAAUGAAAUGAAACAAUGUCCGUUUAGUUUCAAGAAUUUUUAUUUAAGCCUUCAUUUUGACAGAGAGUAAUGCUGAGACCAAAGUCUAUUUUACAGAUGAGCCCUGUAUACACAUCAAUAUUCAUAUCAAUACAUGAAAGCAAAACAAAAUCAUAGAAAACAAACAUAUUAUUCAGUAAAAAAGGUCCUCAAAUCAGCCUUUCGAGAGGCACCAAUUCAUACAGCUUUAGAGAGCCUUGGAGAUGAUAUUCCUACAAGCAAAGUACCCCCCCCCCAAAAAAAAAAAUCUGAUUUAGUUAAUUCAGUGAAGAUAGAAGGGAUCUUUAGAGUUAGCCAUCCCUGAGACCCGGUCUAGUAUCUUGUACAUCUGUAAUGAAUAUGUAGGUUUACUCUGUCAGGAGAUAUAGGGUUAAGUCAGCUUUCACUUGUGCACAUAGACACAAUUCAUUUGUCACCCACUCAAUACAUAUGUGUUAAUUGAAGACAGAAUGUGUGGGGGAAAAAAGCAUGGGCUGUUGAAGGAGUGUAUCAUAUCGUGGUAGUUCUAUCCAGGAUAUCAACACUGGAUGUCUUCUGUCCACCAUUUUGUGAUCAGAACUUUAUCUAAAUGCCCCCAUUUUAUGUGCUGUGGACCACUUGCAGCGCAGUAAUACAGCGGUCAUUUUGAGGGACUACUCCUAUUGAAUCUAUUUUUGUAUAGGGUAUAAUGAUUCAUGAACAUUGUGAAAUGACACAUCACAGACACACAUUAGCUAAUCAUAAAUACUUUUGAAAGGACAUGCCCGAUUUCAAGUUAAAAAGUUUCCCAUAUUUUAAUUCUCAUGGCAAUACUACAAAAAAACUAUUUGUAAUUCAGAAUUGAUACUCAGUAAUUGCAGUGAUUGUUUUUUCAAGUUUGUAUAGCUAAGAACACGUAUUGCUCAUUUUUCUCAGGCAACGUUGCACCCACCCCUUCCACUCUCUUCUAGUGUGUGCGUUUGUGUGUUAUCCAAACACAUAGACAGAAAGGGAGAGUGGCGGUCACACUCUGCUGCCUGAAGUGACAGGCCAGAGGUCAGAGGUCAUGGGGUGUUAAUAACACGUGAUGUGUAGACCCUGUGAGUGACGUCCCUCAGGGUAUAACCCCCUAAUCGGCAUUAGUUAAUGUGUUAGUAAUCUUUACCUUCUUAAAGCAAACAGCACUAGGCCCUCAAUGGGUCUGCCUGGCCUCCCGUGUAACGCUUUUGACCCCAGGGUCAUGGCCUUUGUUCCCUGCUCUAUGGGGAGUGCCUUCAGAGGUCUCUGGUGUAAUAGAGAAGUUGUUUAGACACGUGCGAGGCUGGAGCAAGACCACCUCAUAGACUCACUCGGGCCCCUGUUCCUAGAGAGGGAGACCAAGUCUUUCAUCCCUGCGUACGUAGGGCCAGCCGGCAUUGUGGUUUGGUGUUAUCCUCCUAAAUAGCUUCAUUUAAAAUACCAAUUGUUUCUGUGUUAUGUGUCACUGUGUGUGUCUGGUAUCCUGAGGCAUUGUGGUUCCUGAUCCUGCACAGUCAGAAUUCUGGGUUUUACUCCUGUUGGUGACUAAUGGGUAAAGGAGUGUAGAUCAUGUCUGUCUAUGAGGAGCUACUGCCCACUGCAAUUUCAGAUUCAUCAGCCUUCCUUUCCUUUCUGUUUCCUGUGCUUCUAGACACUAAAGAAAAACAAACGGGCUCCUAAUUAUUUCUUGACUCCCCUCAUGUGACCUACAUGGAAUAUCAAGCGUUAGGUGUGACAGUUUUGAAAAAUGGGUGUACAGUGACUGUUACUCUGUGACUCCUCUUAUGUAUAAAAUUAUGGAGCAUAAAAAGUUUACGAGUGAGGGGAAAAAAAUACAUUUCAAUGAGAUAAAUGAGAGAAUGCCAUGAUUAUACCUUUUGCAUAGAUUCUUUAUGGCAUUUAGUUUGAACUUUCCUUGGCCGACACUUUCAUUUGAAAUGUUCUUUCCUGUGUGUUCAGCAGUGUGCAUUUGAUAAUUACCCAUACUCAAGAGAAAGGUUAGAAGUGAGAGCUCGAUUAUGGAAUCCAACAGUCUAGAUCUGGCAUGAUCAGGAAUUCAUUUUAUGCCAAAAUAACACGUGAUUUCUUACACAUUAUUUUGUUGAUCAUGAUAAGAUCCAACAUGCGUACUAUCAGAAGUUAUACUUUUCUGUUAGAAAAAAUAUUGCAAGAGCUUUUUACCAUAUAUACUAGUGAAAUACUACUGGGUUAAAAUCUGUCGAAUGCAGUUAUCUGUACAGGAUCUUCAUAUGCAGUUAUUGGAUAUUAUUUUAAUUGUUUUGUGAUAGAUUGAAAUUAUCCAAGACUACAAAGCAGUUCUCAUAUUGAUUGUGCUUAAAGGCCCAGUGCAGUCAAAAACUAGAUUGCCCUGUGUUUUAUAUAUAUUUCCACACUAUGAGGUUGGAAUAAUACUGUGAAAUUGUGAAAAUUAUGAUAAUGCCAUUUUAGUGUAAAAGCUGUUUGAAAAGACUGCCUGAAAUGUCAUCCUGUUUUGGUAGGAUGGUGUUUUGGCCCUCCAUGGUGACAUCCCCAUGUGGUAAAUUAGUUAAUAGACCAAUAAGAAAGACAUUUCCCAAAAACUCGCCUACUCAGACCACUCCCAGACAGUCCUAGCAAAACUCUUGCUUGAGAAAUUUACCUUAGCUAUUUGUAUUUAUUUUUUGACUAUUUUAUUGAAAACAAUCACAGUAAGGUACUUAAUUGUUACCCAGAAAUAAUUUGAUACUAAGAUACAAAUUCCUGCAUUGGACCUUUAACAUUUUAUGUUGAAUUAUGAGUUUGUAUUCCAAAUACUUCAUUACAAAUUAUAUAACCAGCUUGUCAACUAAGAGUUAAAAGACUAGCCAGAGACAAAAUGUUUGAUGAUUUUUCCUGGAGUCGUUAUGGUUAGCUUUUUGCAAAUGUGUAGUAUUUGAAUACGUUUUAUCAAGCAAAGUUAUGAACGUAUCACAAUGCUUUACAAUUCUGUAUGAAGCCUGCAAAUGACAUGGCGGCUCCGCCAUUUUGUUCAACAUUUCCUUGGAUGUGACUGAGGGACUGAAUCUGUAUUCUCGCGUUGAUUGCCAAGCCACAAUAACAGACAUGUUAGUUAGUGUUCUACUCUGAUCAUGUUCUCCUUCACCCUCCUCUCACGGUGGAUUUGUAGCAUUGCAAAGCAUAACCAGGAACAUAGCUUCGACUAACAGGUUGGAUAUUUACUUGAUUAACCAUUUUAAUCUAAGUUGAUAUUAUCUAAAGUUAAUACUGAGUAAGAUGCAUAGCAUACAGUAGCAUAUCAUAUUUAUUAACAAUACGGUUAAACAAUCCCUUCAAAUACUACGGUCGGAAUAGUUACAUUUACCUCCCUGUUCUUCCUCCAAGCUUUUUUCUGUUGUACUAGGACAUCAUUUGUUUUUAUAGCUGUAUUGUUUGCCAAAGUUCUUAUGCACACCUGUGUACGGUUGCGUUCCUUAAAAUAUAUCUUAGUUGAAACAUAACUUCAUGAAAACCUGCGAUGUUAACAUUUCUUAAUUUAUUAUUUGAAAAGUGUUUAAAGAAAGCAUGGUUGGGGUCAUAUACAAAUAUAAAACACAACGUAUAGAUAAAAUAAAAGUGCAUGUAAUUAAUUACAGACAAAGGCAGCCCAAGUAGAGGAGAGGGAAGCGAGGUAGAGGCACACAGUGGUAAAAAUUGGCAGGCCACCCAAAACCAAAACCCUAUCCUCAAGUGAACUUGUUGCAAACGCUAAGUGCUACAUGCACGCUAAGCUAAAUGAUAACUACAGACAGUUCCAAACCAACCAUCUCAAACAAAUUCAUAGUUACAUGUCCAUUUCUCCUACAUCCUCUACAGAAACUGAACAGGGCUGUGCAUACAAUAAAAUACACAAUAAUAAUAUACAUCUACAGUAGCCACAAACUGUAUGUGUCAAUGUAUAUGCUUAAAACCAAAGACGUGGAUUUUUUAAUUGGCUAAAACACAUGGCGAGAUGUGACGUGAGGCUACACUGCUUUGGAUGGGGUUCUAGGGAUCUACUGAAGCUCAGACAGGCACAUCCAACCCAGUGUAUCUCGUUUUUAAUAAGAAGACUGUAAAGACUGCUAAUAACGCCCUAACUCAGCUGGACCAUUUCGUCAGUAAGUAAACACAAAGAGUGUUUUUUUGGUUCCUGCUAGCGGCAGGUCCAUUUAAUGUAGCCACCUGUGUCUUAUCGAAAGUUGUUGUGAAGAGAGGAGGAGAGGAGAGUGGAGAGUCCUCGGAGUAAGCGAGCGGAGGAACCGGUUGUCUGUUGCCGUGCUGUUCUAGCGAGGGAGCCAGCAAGGAACGAACGGGUGGUUACGUUAGGAAAGUGCUCCUCAAAGACCCACUCUGCAGAUGAGAUGAGAGCCCAAAACAGGAACAGUCAUGUUGGCUAGUCCCGUCUGAGCUAACCUAACAGCACGAUGUCAUCCACAAAGCAACAGAAAGUUACACACAGUUAAAGAAGCAAAAGAGUAGUUUCCCCCACCUUUUUCUCUGCUAGGCAUGCAAUCUCCUGCUAUACUUUUCAUCUGGCAUUAAAGACAUGAGGCAUCAAAAUAAAUCCAGAACAGGAGACAUGCAGAGAUUUGACCCUUUUUCCUUUUUCUUUCUUUCUUUUCAGAGCUGCUGAUACUUCGGGGCAGAGAGGGGAAAAAAGUUCAAGCGUGUGAGCCCAGCCUUUGCCGUUAUUUGGAACCAGAGCCAAAAGAGGCAGGAAGUUGUUUUACAAUAGUGUUAUAGUAAUCUGCCACAAAUGGGGAAAGCCAAACGCUGGUCGCAGAGUGGAGAAGGUGGUGGGACAGAGAGAGGGAGGGAAAGAGGAAGUAUGAAAAAGACAGAGAUAGAAAAAAUGAAAAUCAAAAUAAUAAUCGGUAUGUACUAAGAUGGUGGAGGACUGGUCUGCCAUGCUGUUUUGUAGUGUGUGUGUGUGUGUGUGUGUGUGUGUGUGUGUGUGUGUGUGUGUGUGUGUGUAUGCGUGCGCAAACAGCAGGGUGUAGGGAGGGUGGAGCGCGCCACAAUGCAGGAUUCUAGAUGAUUCCAGGGUAAGGGAUAGUUUAGAAGCAAAUAUACUCAACAAUCUUUUCCUAUUUGGACAAGGUAUCCUGUGCCUUUUUACCCAGAACCCCUCGUGUUUUCUGUGAAUUCUCAAUCACGUUGUAAUCACAGUAGCUGUUUUUCUUCUAGUAAAGCAGUGAGGUCUCACCCAAAACGCUUAUCAGGCUUUUUACUCCUUGCCAAAAUAGCUGUAAGGGUCGUGCGAUGUUUAGCCCCUCGGAGAAGCAGAGCCAGGGCAGGAAGAGGACAGUCUUACUGUACUGUACUGUAACUCUACUAACCCCGCUCUCUACCCUGCCACGUGCUACACUACAGUAUUAUACUCAAGUAGCUCCCAUUUUUCCAUAUCUGCUUUUUGUCUUCUCAAUGCUGCUUUCACGCUAGCUGCUGUGGCAUGCUAAAGAGCUGAUACUUUCUGUCUGUGAGCCAUGGCUUGCUGUAGAAUGUGAUCCAGACAGACUGUUGCAGCUUGACGAGAGAGAGAGCUACAGUACUGUACUGUACUGUACCAGAUAAGGUUAAUCAUUUAACCUGCUCUCAGAACUGUUGCAUAUUUCAAAUGUCCUUAGGCAGGGCAGUCCACUCUGAGUGUUUGUACAUUCUCUUUAUUUCGUUUCCUUAUUUUUUAUGCUCUGUUCUCUAGCUGAUUGCCGGGGUGCGGAGAGUGCUAGUAUGGCGUGAGUGCGUGCACUGCGUCUGCGCACUGCCGGAGGAGUGCAUUUCUGUGUCAUUCUUCCUCCUCUACCCCCUCCCACCCUCGACUGCUUUCCGCCCUCCUACUCUCCCCUGUCUCUCUCUCUCUCUCUUUCCCUCUUGGUCGCCGUCUCCCACCCUUCUCUCUCCCUCCUCCCUCUCUCAAGUGCAUAUACAGUUCCUUGCCGUGUUGGAUGUGUGAUGAAAAAGUGUCUGUCUCUCGUGCUCCGCCGCACCUCCUAUUUCAUCAUCAGUAGAGCUUUUCUCUCCUUCACUCUGAGCUUGCUGCCUCGUCUCUUCUAUCGCUCGCUCCCCUGUUCUCAGCUCCAGCCGCACGCAGGGGGGAGACUCGAGCUCUGUGGGGAGAAAAAAAGAACAAAGGUUUGCUGCUAUUUCUACAGUCAGGGCCUCCCCACAGCCCGCCCUUCCAUAGAGGAGUUUUUUUUUUUUUUUUUACUACUAGCUGGAUUUUAACCCUCUGCCUCCAAAUAUCUACACAACGGCUCUGCAAAAAGCUGGCAACAAGUAGCUUUUUUUGGGGCCUUUACGUAGUUUUGUGCGGCAAUUUUUGCAUCAGUUUGGAUCUUGGUGUUAUUUCUUUUUUUUGGGUGUUAUUUUUUCAUCUGCAUUAAUUCCCAGAGUUUUAUAUUUCUCUUUGAAAGAGUUUGGCGGUGUUUAUUUUCAAUGUGUUAUUAUUUUUGUCGUCGUUUGGUCGUGUUUGUAUCUCGCCACGUGACGAGCCUUCUUCCUCCUGGAGCUGUGUACGUACGGGCGUCAUUCCUACUGGAGAUGUGGAUCCAGCGUGGAAAAAAGAGAGGAAGAGAGAAGCUGCUCAGAAUUUCACCCCCGGAUUCGGAACGUUUCGGAAUUGCCUCUACUGCAGAAUAUUUGCUGCAUGACUGACUCAGACCUUGGCCGAUGGCGCGGGACUUUUGGCCAAUCAGAGAACCCCAUGGUCAGACAGACGGACAGCCCUAGCAGUAAGUAACUUAUUGUAAGCUAUUUUAUUAUACAAUUUGUAAUAUAUCAUAUCGUAUAGAUUUGGAUUUGUUUAGUAUUUAUGACUGCCUCAUCUUAAUUUGAAAUAGCAAUUAGCAAGUGCAGGUGGCUAAAACACACAAACACACACACACACCACACCGUACCUAAUCUUCAGAAUCCAUUGGGGCAUAAAAAGUUCUGUGUCUAGCCAAUCAGUGCUAUCUCUCUCCUGUGCCUGAAACCGUUACAAAAUGGUGUCCGCUCUCUGCCUUCAGCUCCCUCCAGCCCCCUGCAGCUCUCCCAUCCAUUUUGUGUGUCUCUGCCAAAGUAGUCAGGUAGGAGGAAGAGAGGAGAGAAAGAGAGAGAGAGAGAGAGAGAGAGAGAGAGAGAGAGAGAGAAGUUGUCCAGAGAGAGAGUAAAAGUGAAGGGAUGGGGUAGGCUAGAUGGGGCAUAGAGAAGAGGGCAAUAGUCCAGAGGAUAUUGGGUGGAGAGAGAUAUGUUAAUGUACAGUGACAGGUAGGAAUACAGAAUCUGCUCUUUUCUUAUUUGGAGGUUUAAUUGUUGCCGACUGACUGACUGACUGCAUACAAAAACAGCCUUGAAGACAGCGCCGCUGGACCCUUCCCAGCUCCUCUUCUCAAAGAGCUGACCUUGGGCGGACGCCAUAAACUGUUAUUUUCCAUUGGCCCAAAAUGUGAUGCUGGCAAGGCCUGCAGCUGCACCCCCCCACCUCACCCCACCCCAGCCCCCUCCGUGCCCCGCCCUGGCUCGACUCCCCCAGCAAGUCUGUGCCUGGCCUGACCCGUAACACAACCUGCCUGGCCUGCUUACGGUGCAGAAGAGCCGGGGCCGCCCGAGCUCUAUCCAAUGCCCCUACCGUUUCCCCAGGCCUAACUCCAACCUCAGCCCCAGUUCCAGCCCCAUGCCCCAUCCUCAGCCAAGCCUCCAGCCCCAGCUCCAACCCUGACCCCAACCUCAGACCCACGCUAAGCCCCAAGCCUCCAAUCCUUAGCCAGUACUGCCCGCGGCUCUGGAAUUCUGCACAUGCCAGGCAUUCGAUUAGACAGACAUAAUAGACAUAAUAGUGUAUAGAUCCCAUGCUGCCUGGCCAUACUACCACGGCUAUAUGGAUAAGGGACAAGGCUUCAAAGACCCAUGGUCUUUAGCUAUGCUAAACUAACUGUGCAUCAUUCCUUUAUUAGCAAUGUUAGCAAACUCAGAUAUUGCCCCCUUUUUAGCAAUGUGGGAAUCUAUAGCCUACAGGCUACCAGUAGACCCACAUAGACUCAACAGAAGGCUGUUGAACACUGUUCAGACAGUCAACACCUCCAUAGCUCAGUUCUUUCGUCCUCUCUCUCUCUCUCUCUCUCUUUAAUAUCCUUCCUCUAAUCUGCCCAUGUGCUCCAGUAUGGCACAGAACAGCCUACAUAUUGUAUUUGUGGUAAUGAAUUAUAGAUGAUAUUGCAUAACCGUUCCCGUUAUAACCUUAUCUGUGAAUCAUCUACCCAGAGACAUGCAGCAUGGAUACAUUGCUUGCAGUCUAGACCAGACCUUGUGGAAAUGAUACUGUGAAGUUGCCUGGCCUCUGGUGGGCCUGCGUUUGUUUAUGGUUACACACAAAGCAGAUGGCCGCGCAACAUGGUCGCAUAUCUCACACUAACACUCGCUGACACUGCCACAAGCACACACACUCACCCACGCACACACUCACACUCUCGCACACUCACGCGCCUGAGGAACAAUCGAGGUGGACUCGUGAGCUAUUUAUUUGAUCUCUGAUCUCUCUUUCUAUUCUCCCGUUAUCAAUGGGUUUUAUGAUUGUCCCAUAUGACUCAUGAGGAUACUUAACCUGAGUAGCUAGCUAGCAUUGACAACAGUGGUUUACAUGGCAGACCUGAUCCUGUCAAGGGCUCAAAUGGUAAAGUACAGCAGCUAACUGUAGCUAACUGUAUGUAAGUUAACUGUAUGUCGGCUAUAGUUAACAUUAGCUAUUUGUAGCUAACAGUACAAUAGAUAACUGUACAGUAGUAGCUAGCUGUAUCAUAGCUAAAUGUACAGUAGCUAACCAUCCUAGCUGCUAACCUGUUCAUCAAAGUUACUGUAUAUACUGUAGCCCCCUGUCCUCCCACUCUCUCAGCCAGUUCAGAGCCAGGGAGAGAGAGGAGAGGAGAGGUAUGUGUCCCACCCUCUAUUAAUAGAUCUACGACAGAUGGAGCUCUGUGAAGGCAGGGCAUUCCGCGGCAGGCGCUAGUCUCGUCAGAUGGCCAGGGGCUGGGGCACCGUCAGAUCGAGGGGUGCAGGGGGGACAGCCAGAGUGGAGGGAUGGACGUGUCAGAACUGUUGACUUGUCUUAAUGGAGGGGGGCCCUCUGGGUCACCAGGAAGAUGCAUGGCUCCAUCAGCGCUUCUGUUAGCAUGGUGGCUAGUGGGUAUUAGUGGGACUAUGGCCAUUACUGAGACGAAGGACAAAGGGGCGAUAAGACUUGAGGAGUGAGUAGAACAGGAGCCAUAAAGCAGGUGGGCAGAAGAGUAUUUGGGGUCAUAUUGCUGAUCACACAGUCCCUGUACAAUAGUUAGCCUGGAGGCUACAGUUAUGGCUGGGCUUUCUGGAUUAUUUUUGAGAGAGGACAAAAUGCCAUGUUUCUCUGUGCUGUAGAAUUGGGAAAAUCACAUUUCUAUCACGUUUGUGUUUGUGUGUAUAUGUGUGUGUGUGUGUGUGUGUGUGUGUGUGUGUGUGUGUGUGUGUGUGUGUGUGUGUGUGUGUGUGUGUCUGUCUGUCUGUCUGUCUGUCUGUCUGUCUGUCUGUCUGUCUGUCUGUCUGUCUGUCUGUCUGUCUGAGGCCAUUUUUCUUCUCUAAAGAUGAGGUUGGUGCUAGGUCAGCUAAUGUUGGUUAAUUCUGCUUCCAUACAGGCCAUGUUAACGAGGAUUUGCUAUGUGCUAGAUUAUCACAAGAUAUUUUCUAAUCAUACAGUCAACAUGCACAGCUGAAUAUCACUCCAUAGACAGACACACAUGCACAGCAUACACACCAGGACACCUCUCAAGGCCAUAUCAGCACCAGAGGUUAUAGGGAGGUCAGCUUGUCUGACUUUGACCAGAACCCCCCCCCCCCACCCCCCCCAGCCCAUGUGUAACUGGACCUGGUCUGCCAACCUGCUCCCUGCUCUAUGCGUCUCCCUCUCUAAACCUGGUAUGAAUAGAUGUCCAUGCCUACUCCCUCCGUUAACCCAGGGGGCUAAGAAGCCAUGCUUCCCUUUUUAAACGCUCUGACGUGUCUGUCUGGAUACCUCCUGUCUGCACCUGGCUACCUCUCUGGGCUACACACACACACACUGAUAGAGACACAGACACAUAUACAGAUACUCAAACACACACACACACCGGUCUAUAGAAGCUCUGACAGGGGGAAUGCAGAGAGGGGUGUACGUUUGAGGAGAGGGUGUGUGCGUGUGUGUGUGUGUGUGUGUGUGUGUGUGUGUGUGUGUGUGUGUGUGUGUGUGUGUGUGUGUGUGUGUGUGUGUGUGUGCGUGUGUGUGCAUGUGUGCAGGCAUGUAGGGAGGUACUGUGCACAGUAUGGAGGGCAGGAAGGUCUGUAAGCCUCUGUCUGUAGACAGCCACUGCUUAUAACUAACUAUAAGUUAAGUAUAACUAUAUGUGUGUGUGCAUGUGUGUAGGGAGGUACUGUGUACAGUAUGGAGGGCAGGAAGGUCUGAGCCUCUGUCUGUAGACAGCCACUGCUUAGGUUAAGUAUAACUAUAAGAACUCUAAGAUGUGUCAAAUAAAUGAUAUGCAGCUCAGGCCUCCAGCUAUGCAUUUGGUUUGCUAACUUACUAAGUGGUUAGAUGUCAAGAUCAAGCUUCUUGGUUACAGCAGAGACAUUCAAUCCCCUCCUGGAUCAAGAUCCCUGUUUCCUUCAUAGUUUUGUGCAGUUUUUAAAAAAUGAAAUAGCGCCCCCUGUUUGCACAUUAGGUAAUACCUAAUAUGGUACAGAAACGGUAUGAUGGUAUGAAAAUCUGAACCCUAGUGCGGGCGUGCGUGUGUGUGGGUAUGUGUGUGUUUGCGUCUCACUGGAUGUUGUCAGCUGGUCCAUGUUCAAAGGAAUUCCUUUACCAGCAUAGUGUCAACUAUGGAUCAUAAUUCUACAGCCAUCUGCCAUAUUAGAAGAUAAUGUUGAAUCAGCAAGCUAAGGUCAAGUGUUUUCACCUUGUGAACCAAGACCGCUCCUUUCCAGUAAACAUGUAUUAUAGUGUGUGUGUCCAUGUGUCUGUGUGUCCAUGUGCGUCCAUGUGUGUGUUUGUACCUAGAAGCCAAGCCUCCAGUGAUCCACUUACCAGAACAGUAAGCAAAGCUAUAUUUAAUAAUGCAGGCAACAGAAUCCUCCUUACUACUGAGCCGACACAAUGGGCCUCUCAAGACUCUCUGUACUCUCCUCUCCUGCUCCUAGGGGAUAAAGCAGCAGAGGAGCACUAUCCAAUGUGAUUGAAUGACUUGACAGCAGGCACUGUGAAGUGAAUGAGAGAAUGUAUGUGCGUACUUGGAUGCAUACUUCUGCAUCAACACACCAAUUGCAUUUUCUUUUCAUUUCACCAGGCAGUUGAUUGAGGGAAAAACUAAUUUACAACAAUUACCUUGUUCUUACAUUUGGUUGCAAGAAGCCAAAUAUCAAGUUUAAGUUUUCCCCUUUCUACAAGUAAUAGAUUUUUCCUCUUGGGUCCUUUUAGAUGCUGCUACCUGACAAGCUGCUUAGAGCCUGAUGGAGAGAGGAGGAGGAGGUGAUAGGCCAGUGUUUUCCUCUCUCUCUCUCUCUCUCUCUCUCUCUCUCUCUCUCUCUCUCUCUCUCUCUCUCUCUCUCUCUCUCUCUCUCUCUCUCUCUCUCUCUCUCUCUCUCUCUCUCUCUCUCUCGCUCUCUCUCUCUCUGCAUGUUAAGGAGCAGGUGAGAAACAUUAACAGCAGCAGCUGCACUUUUCUGCUGCUGCGCUGCUCUGCACACAUGUGGUUCAGGAUAUUCACCACACUGUCUAUCUGUCUGUCCACCAGUGUUAACACACUCCUCUCUGGGAUAUGCCUAGUGUAUACCAGGAAGACAUUUAGGACAGGACUAGCACAUUAAGUCUAGUCCUGUACUCAAUAGCUCUUUCAAUGGAGGUUCUCUAUAAGGAUGUUUUUUAGUCCUGGAUUACACUUAUUCUUUGUCUGGAAAGCUGUCCAAUUGAGUAACAGAGUUACACUUCAGACAAUCCCAGUAUCUCUGUGUCAGACUGCUUGGAGGUGAAUGAUUCUGGGAUUGUGUGUUCAUGCUUCAAUCCUAACCAUUGUUCUGUGUCUUCUGAGGUGUGUUGCAGCUGUCUUUCUCUGGUACAGGACUACACACGCCCCCUUGGUGACCGACUGUCUUUGCCCCAAACUACUUUCAGUAACCAUCUCUGUCGGUCUCUCCAUUUGUACUUACAUCUGUCCUGUCAAAAAAAAAACUAGAAAUGACAUCUGAUCUCCUUUAAAAAAAAUAAAAAACAAGUUGUCUUCCUGACCUGGUUGACUGGGACCAAGGUACUGGAGUGCCAGUGUAGACCGCCGGGUCUAUGAUGGUCCUUUGGGGUGAGGUAGUAGGUUGUAUAGUUUUAGGGUCAUACCCUUCCUGUCAGAUAACUAUACAACUUACUGUCUUUCCUGAAGUGGCUGUAAUAUCAUCCAUCAUCUCUGCAGCGCACUUACAACCUAGACCUCGAUGGGAAUAUGUACUAUGAACCAAUUAAAGUUGAUAACAUGUUUGUAAUGUCAUUUAUAUGGUAUCUAUGCAUCAUUUGGUUCUGUUUUGGUAUGGCUCUUUGUUCAUUUCAAUACUUUUGUUUGUAUGAUGUAGUUAUUAUUUUGCCAUGAAAGUGAUCUUGCCUCUCUGAUGUUCGCACGGGGUGAGGUAGUAGGUUGUGUGGUUUCAGGGUAGUGAUUUUGCCCCAUCAGGAGAUAACUAUACAACUUACUGCCUUCCCUGAAGGGCAGCAAUACUACACCAGACAACUGCAGAGGGCGCUGUUGGCACCACAUGAUAAUCUAGCAUUGGAACGAGGUCAUCUAGCUUUUGAUCAGCUACAGAGGUGACUGCAGCGUUUCAGGUAAAGUCUACUGACAAUCUAGUAUUACGAUGUAGCUACCAUGUUUUUUGAUCACUUUGAAAUUGUUUUUAUUCAAAUAAGUAAUAAAAAUUAUUAUUUUAUAAAUGUCAACUGUCUGUACUUCGUCUUUCACUUAGCUGUGUUUGGAUUUAAGAAUCAUAUGAAACUCUUCAGCAGAGGAUAGACAGUACUCUAGCUCCCUAGUCCUAGCCAACACCGCAGAGAGAUAGAGAGGAGAUGGAGUGUGUUUGCCAGUCAGUAUCGGGCCAAUAUGGGUUUCAGACGUGCCUUACUGUCUAGGACUGCAGUCUGUCUGCUGUAUCUCAUAGCAAGGACAGAUAGAUUUAUUGCCCUGGCUGGUUCAGGUUCACACUGGGACCUUCACAUUAUUGCCUGGCCGGACCAUGAGCAGCUCACAGGCAGAUAGCUGUAGCUCUUUCCUUGGUCUCAUGGGUGGAAUGUUAUUCAUCUAUUUCAUUAUUAAUAAAGAUUAUACAUUUUUUAAACAUCUAAAAUCUGGUGUUUCUAUGUCAAACAGUUUUGUUCCAUUUCAGUCUUGCGUGAUAUAUAUAUAUAGGGAUGCGAAAUUAAAAUGAAAUAAAUAUCAAGUCUAUGUCUGA